GAUGAAGAACGUAGUGAAAUGCGAUACGUAAUGUGAAUUGCAGAAUUCAGUGAAUCAUCGAAUCUUUGAACGCAUAUUGCGCUCUCUGGUAUUCCGGAGAGCAUGCUUGUUUGAGUAUCAGUAAACACCUCAACUCCCCUUUCUUUUUUGAAAUGGGAGCUGGACUUGAGUGAUCCCAACGCUUUUCUCACCGAAAAGUGGCGGGUUACUUGAAAUGCAGGUGCAGCUGGACUUUUCUCUGAGCUAAAAGCAUAUCUAUUUAGUCUGCCUAAAAACAGAUUAUUACCUUUGCUGCAGCUAACAUAAAGGAGAUUAGUUCUUGUGCUGACUGAUGCAGGAUUCACAGAGACAGCUUCGGCUGGCCUUUGUAAACUCGAUCUCAAAUCAAGUAAGACUACCCGCUGAACUUAAGCAUAUCAAUAAGCGGAGGA
This 431-nucleotide unclassified non-coding RNA is filed under the name soil metagenome. Its description in RNAcentral is "partial contains 5.8S ribosomal RNA, internal transcribed spacer 2, and large subunit ribosomal RNA". The stretch from base 1 to 120 matches the Rfam family "5.8S ribosomal RNA", at positions 35 to 154 of the family's 154-position model. The record is from RNAcentral.